GUCUGUGCUUUCUAUCCCCACAAUCCAUCCUUCUUAGAGUUUGUCUGUUUGUCUGUCUGUUUCUGCCUUCUGUCCCCACAAUCCUUCAUUCUGAGAUGUUGGCUCUCUCUAGAUAUAGAUGUAGAUAGAUACACAUAUGUGUAUAUAUAUGUGUGUGUUUAAAUACUGGAUUCUUUUUUUUUUUUGCCUGUGUAGGAUUCCACGACCAUGCCCCAUACUAACCUUUUCCUGGUUGGGAGAGAGAGGGCCUUACCUAGAGGCCUUGUUAAUAUUCCCUUUCUACCCCACCCCCACGAUACAGAAGAUAUUAGAAACACGGAAUAUCAAACUGGAAGGACCUAGAAGGUGGUUUCUAAGGAAAAGGAGUUGGAAACCCAGGCAAUGGCAUCAGGUCCAUGAAACCUUACGUCAAUGGAGGGGGGAGGGAGACGCAGCGCCAAGAGAGGAAGAUGAGGGAAGGAUGGGGGAAGGGGGUUUGUACUGGGGCCUUGGGUGGCGUCUUAACCUGCAGGCUUCCCGCUGCUUCCCCUUCCCCACCUGCUGCAGAAACCGCAGAGGACCCCUCCCUACAGCCUGUGGAGAACGAAGGUCACCUGGGCUCUCCUCCCCACGCUCUGCUGGUGAAGAGGAAGAGUGGAUGCAACGUGAAGGGAAACACUAAGGACGUUCAGCAGCCCGGCCUGAGGGGAUCCGAUUGACCAGUGCCCCCAGCCCAGAGCCCCCGCCCCCGCGCCCUGCCCUCUGCAGCAAAUCCUGCUGCUCCAAGCCCUGGGACCUGUAAUCCCGGAUCUCCAGGGCUAUGUAUAGCAGCCUUCGGUCUGGGCCUCCCGCUCCCAACCCUACUGUACCCCCGACCCCCACCCCUCCAAGCCCCUGGCUCGCAACUCACCCGCCCGACGGCUGCUCCACGGUCAAAGAUACCGGGACGGGGGGAGGGAGAGGGAGAGGGAGAAGAUCUAAGAGCUGCCACGCAAUGCAAUGCAAUCAAUGCAAAGUCCUGCAACGCCAAGCAAGGAACGAACCUAGCACUCCGUGUGCUGCAGCCCCGCCGCUCUCGGCUUCGGGGCUGGGAGGGGGCAGCCACGCGCGCGCGUCCGCGAGCCGGCUCCUCCUCGCGUUCCCGCUCCCGCAGCAGCAGCAGCGCCGCUGCCACCGCCUCCUCCUGCAGCAGUCUCUCGCGAGACUCCCGCCCUCCGGCCCAUCUAACUCAAGCACCACUCCCCGGGUUGUCGCGAGAGGGGCCCGUACCCGCUGCCUGGGCUCCCGCAACGCUGUCCGAGGUGCUGCGACUGGUUUGGCUACUCCAGUUUUGACCUCCAGUUGUAUUGAUUUCAUGAUGGGUAAGAUUUUCCCUGUGCUCUCAUGGAACCCAGGCAAUACCCAUCAACUGAUUACAGUACUCAAAUAUCCAAAAGUAUAGAUCUGGGAGAUGAGGAAACAAAGAAUUCUUUGGUCCUUCCCUGCCAAUCAUCAUUCUGAAGACCUUGAAAAGAAGUCUCUAAAAUAUGUCAGUGAUAAGAAUUUUCAUCUACCCAAGGGGAAACCUGGAAAGACAUCUUGGAAACUGCCCCACAAACCCCAAUCUGGAUGCAAAUUUGGAGGACCACAGCAUCUCCUUCAUAUUUCUAGUAUACCUGAAACCUUGGUUGGCUAUAUAUAAUAUCCU
Molecule: long non-coding RNA, 1666 nt
Organism: Monodelphis domestica (gray short-tailed opossum)
Lineage: Eukaryota; Metazoa; Chordata; Mammalia; Didelphimorphia; Didelphidae
Source: Ensembl